UUUGUACUAAAACUUAAGUACUUAUUUCUUCUCAAAUUUCUGUAGCAUUUUGUUUUCUUUGAAAAAGUAUCUUUGUUUUAAUGUUUCAUUUUUUUUUUUAGUUUUAAAGAAUCCCACAUACAUAUUCUUAAUGUCACCUAACGAAUCACAAUAUUCUUAAGUUUCUAAAGAGACUACUUUAUUGUAAAAUUUCAAAGUUUUCAAUAGAUUUCUUUUACAAUGAGAGUUUGGAAUAUUUUAAAUUUUUAUUUUGGCUCUAUGUAAGAAGUUAACCCUGUAUCUAUGUUAAUUUGGUUCUAUAAAAGAAACAGGUAAUUAUGGUAUCUAUCAGUUAAUGCCAAAUGUUUCUUCACAUUCUUCAGAAAUGAGGGGAAAAUGUUUACUUAAGUGUUCUGUACGUAUUUCAAUAUGUUAUGUAAUAUUAAUAUAAGUAAUUCUCUAUAUCCCUGGGCACUUGCUUUAGGAAAUGAUCACUUUUUUAUGCUAUUUGUGUGUGCUGCUGAGGUACUACCAUUUGUUGUGGAACAGCACUUUCUUAUAAUCCAAUAGUUCUGCUUUAAAGUUAAGUGAAAUUUUUAUCACAGGUGUAAAUUCUGAUACUUGAAUUUUAUUUAAACAGUUUUAUUGUGUAAUAAACAUUAGAAAAUGUCUAUAUUUCUCUAUCUAGGGAGCCAUUUUCCAUGGAGUGGCUUAUGUGCUCAAUUUAUUGAGAUGAUGUUAAUGUCUUUAUUGUACUAUUAGCAUGUUCCAACAAAAUUGAAAGACCAAAGUAAUAGAUGUUCAGAUAUUGUUUUUCUUUUGUAAUGUCACCUAACAAAUUACAAUUAUGUACAUAGAUG
Molecule: long non-coding RNA, 839 nt
Filed under: Marmota monax (woodchuck)
Lineage: Eukaryota; Metazoa; Chordata; Mammalia; Rodentia; Sciuridae
Source: RNAcentral